This 1115-nucleotide ribosomal RNA is filed under the name Methanosaeta sp. enrichment culture clone D2CL_Arch_16S_clone1. RNAcentral describes it as "bacterial SSU rRNA". It matches the Rfam family "Archaeal small subunit ribosomal RNA", at positions 1 to 1110 of the family's 1478-position model. Lineage: Archaea; Methanobacteriati; Methanobacteriota; Methanomicrobia; Methanotrichales; Methanotrichaceae. The record is from RNAcentral.
CUGUUUUGAUCCCGCCGGCAGGUUUACUGCUAUCGAGGUHUCGACUAAGCCAUGCGAGCUCGAAUGUAGCAAUACAUGGCGAACUGCUCAGUAACACGUGGACAACCUGCCCUUAGGACGGGKAUAAACCCGGGAAACUGGGUAUAAUACCCGAUAGGUCUCGAUUGCUGGAAUGCAUCGAGAUUUAAAGCUCCGGYGCCUAAGGAUGGGUCUGCGGCCCUAUCAGGUAGUAGUGGGUGUAGCGUACCUACUAGCCUACGACGGGUACGGGUUGUGAGAGCAAGAGCCCGGAGAUGGAUUCUGAGACACGAAUCCAGGCCCUACGGGGUGCAGCAGGCGCGAAAACUUUACAAUGCUGGCAACAGCGAUAAGGGAACCUCGGAGUGCCAGGUUACAAAUCUGGCUGUCGAGAUGCCUWAAAAGCAUUUCAUAGCAAGGGCCGGGCAAGACCGGUGCCAGCCGCCGCGGUAACACCGGCGGCUCGAGUGGUAACCGUUAUUAUUGGGUMUAAAGGGUCUGUAGCCGGCCGGAUAAGUCUCUUGAGAAAUACUGGCAGCUUUAACUGUCAGGCUUUCAGGAGAUACUGUMUGGCUCGAGGCCGGGAGAGGUGAGAGGUACUUCAGGGGUAGGGGUGAAAUCUUGUAAUCCUUGAAGGACCACCAGUGGCGAAGGCGUCUCACCAGAACGGACCUGACGGCAAGGGACGAAAGCUAGGGGCACGAACCGGAUUAGAUACCCGGGUAGUCCUAGCCGUAAACGAUACUCGCUAGGUGUCGGCCACGGUGCGACCGUUGUCGGUKCCGUAGGGAAGCCGUGAAGCGAGCCACCUGGGAAGUACGGCCGCAAGGCUGAAACUUAAAGGAAUUGGCGGGGGAGCACCACAACGGGUGGAGCUUGCGGUUUAAUUGGAUUCAACGCCGGAAAUCUUACCGGGACCGACAGCAAUAUGAAGGCCAGGCUGAAGACUUUGCCGGAUUAGCUGANGAGGUGGUGCAUGGCCGUCGUCAGUUCGUAKCUGUGAAGCAUCCCUGUUAAGUCAGGCAAUCGAGCGAGACCCAAAUGGAGDCGAAUUUCCAGGCAUCAKCUGUGCGGACCGUUAMUAAGUGGAUUCCGAG